Long non-coding RNA from Zonotrichia leucophrys gambelii, 148 nucleotides. RefSeq lists it as uncharacterized. The record is from RefSeq and is a predicted model, not a curated record. Lineage: Eukaryota; Metazoa; Chordata; Aves; Passeriformes; Passerellidae. The transcript has 3 exons.
CAGGUGUGUCCCAGUUACACCCAGGUGUGUCCCAGGUGUGUCACAGUUACAGGUGUGUCCCAGUUGCACCCAGGUGUGUCACAGUUACGGGUGUGUCCCAGUUGCACUCAUGUGUGUCCCAGGUGUGUCCCAGGCGUGUCCCAGGUGU